This 520-nucleotide ribosomal RNA is filed under the name uncultured bacterium. RNAcentral's name for it is "bacterial SSU rRNA". It matches the Rfam family "Bacterial small subunit ribosomal RNA", at positions 120 to 674 of the family's 1533-position model. The record is from RNAcentral.
GGGAAUCUACCUAGUUCUACGGAACAACAGUUGGAAACGACUGCUAAUACCGUAUACGCCCUACGGGGGAAAGAUUUAUCGGAAUUAGAUGAGCCCGCGUAAGAUUAGCUAGUUGGUGGGGUAAUGGCCUACCAAGGCGACGAUCUUUAGCUGGUCUGAGAGGAUGAUCAGCCACACUGGGACUGAGACACGGCCCAGACUCCUACGGGAGGCAGCAGUGGGGAAUAUUGGACAAUGGGCGCAAGCCUGAUCCAGCCAUGCCGCGUGAGUGAUGAAGGCCUUAGGGUUGUAAAGCUCUUUCACCGAUGAAGAUAAUGACGGUAGUCGGAGAAGAAGCCCCGGCUAACUUCGUGCCAGCAGCCGCGGUAAUACGAAGGGGGCUAGCGUUGUUCGGAUUUACUGGGCGUAAAGCGCACGUAGGCGGUUUGUUAAGUCAGGGGUGAAAUCCCGGAGCUCAACUCCGGAACUGCCUUUGAUACUGGCAAGCUAGAGUCCGGAAGAGGUAAGUGGAACUCCUAGU